GACGAACGCUGGCGGCGUGCUUAACACAUGCAAGUCGAACGGAAAGGCCCUGCUUUUGUCGCGUGCUCGAGUGGCGAACGGGUCAGUAACACGUGAGCAACCUGCCCUUGACUUUGAGAUAACUUCAGGAAACUGGAGCUAAUACCGGAUAGGAACUCCUGCUGCAUUGUGGGGGUUGGAAAGUUUCGGCGGUUGGGGAUGGACUCGGGGCUUAUCAGCUUGUUGGUGGGGUAGUGGCUUCCCAACGCAUUGGGGGGUAGCCGGGCUGAGAAGGUGACCGGCCAAGUCGGGAUUGAGAUGAGGCCCAGACUACUACGGUAGGCAGCAGUGCAGAAUAUUGCACAAUGGGCGGAAGCCUGAUGCAGCAACGCAGCGCGGGGGAUGACGGCCUUGGGGUUGGAUACCGCUUUCGUCUGUGACGAAGAGUGUGUGACGGUAAUGGGUAAAGAAGCAACGGCUAACUACGUG
Molecule: ribosomal RNA, 468 nt
Filed under: uncultured bacterium
Lineage: Bacteria
Description: partial 16S ribosomal RNA
Rfam family: Bacterial small subunit ribosomal RNA
Source: RNAcentral